Molecule: ribosomal RNA, 423 nt
Filed under: Fusobacteriota bacterium
Lineage: Bacteria; Fusobacteriati; Fusobacteriota
Description: Fusobacteria bacterium partial 16S ribosomal RNA
Rfam family: Bacterial small subunit ribosomal RNA
Source: RNAcentral
UGAGGAAUAUUGGUCAAUGGUCGAGAGACUGAACCAGCCAAGUCGCGUGAAGGAUGACUGCCCUAUGGGUUGUAAACUUCUUUUACAAGGGAAUAAAAUGAGAUACGUGUAUUUUAUUGCAUGUACCUUGUGAAUAAGCAUCGGCUAACUCCGUGCCAGCAGCCGCGGUAAUACGGAGGAUGCGAGCGUUAUCCGGAUUUAUUGGGUUUAAAGGGUGCGUAGGUGGGCUGUUAAGUCAGCGGUGAAAGUUUGUCGCUUAACGAUAAAAUUGCCGUUGAAACUGGUAGUCUUGAGUAUAGAUGAAGUAGGCGGAAUGCGUGGUGUAGCGGUGAAAUGCAUAGAGAUCACGCAGAACUCCGAUUGCGAAGGCAGCUUACUAAGGUAUAACUGACACUGAAGCACGAAAGCGUGGGUAUCAAACAG